Molecule: long non-coding RNA, 1562 nt
Organism: Planococcus citri (citrus mealybug)
Lineage: Eukaryota; Metazoa; Arthropoda; Insecta; Hemiptera; Pseudococcidae
Exons: 4
Source: RefSeq, a predicted model, not a curated record
UUGAUAAGAACAUUGCAAUUGCAAAUAAUGCGAUAUUUUUAAAAUGUCAUAGUUGAAAAUUGAAAUUAAUAUAUCUAGUCGUAUCUCGUACUUGUUCUCGUAUUUGUUCGCGAUCACAUUUUGUUUCAUUUCAACACUAAUUCGUGAAAACAUCUCUUCGAGUUCGGUGAGUUACGACUUACAAGUUUGUUUUCUUCAGAUUUCUACAUCAUACGUACAUCAUCAACAGCAUUAAAACCGAAGAGUAACAUUGAACUUGAAUCUGUCAAGUCAAGAUUUUCCUCGUUGAAUUAAACAUAAACUGCAGUAAUUAUCACUCACCAGUUACUUAUCUGUAGCUGUACGAUGACACCCGGGCUCUGAAGAAGUAUUGUGUUUGAAAAACAUGUCAUCUCAAACACCUGUCAUCAGAUCUCCUGAAAUGACACUCGCAUGAUACCGAGCAAUUUUUGGUAUGGACGGAUCCGUAUAAUUUGCUGAAAAUGAACAAACACCUGAGAAGAAGAUUUGACAAGGUCACAGCUGUCUUAUGGAUGUAUGGUCGAACAUGAAGAACAAAAUGACAUAAUCGAAACCUUUCAUCUUUACUUCCUGAAAUGCAGAAAUCGAUGUUGCAGAUACGUAGGUAGGUACAAUGCAUGCAUCGCGCAAGCUCUACGUCAUUAACCAACACUUUAGGUACCUACGAAGAAGCUGAAGAUCCUCCCGAUGAGCACCUUCCAACCGGAAUUCCUCGAGUACCAUGAACGGCGGCGGGCGGCGGCUGCGCAACGGAGAUGUAGACAAAUUAGUCUAACUAUAGGUUCGUUUUAGGAGUGAUAUUUCGCCAAGAUGGUUGGAUUUUUAAUAGUUCAUUUGUUUUAGGUGAAAACUAGGUGAAUUGAUGUAGUUUAAGGUCGACUAACAGGUUAUUUCAUUUGAGGACGAUGCUGACGAUAACGAUUAAUGGAUUAUCUUUUCGAUGAAUGUUAGCAUUAUAGAGAAUCUCUUUCUCUCUCUCUCAUUUCUCUGUGCACUCCGUAGUAGAAACGGUUCAGUGUCAUUUGCGGAAUGCGGAAAUCCCCUUCUUUAAUAAUUAUAUUUGAGAUACUUUUUCUUACUUGUUUUAACGAGUAAUAAAACGGACGUUUGUAUGAUGUAACCGAUUAACCGUCGUGGCGCCAACGAGUUAUUAGCAUCCGCGCCUUUUUAUACUUAAUUCAACGUAUUCGACAGAAAAUAUGAUAAUUCUUGUUUUUCAUAAUUUCUAAUUUCAACUAUUAAUUGCAGAAAACGUGUGCAAAUUUGCAUCUUUAACAGCUACCUUAGGUCUUUGCUAACAAAAAGACUCGACAGAUUUGUAUCUCUGUAGCACCUACCUAUAGACCUACGUGUUUAACGGUAUCAGUGAUGGUUUUAAGUAAAAUGCCAUUUGUCUGUACCUAUCUACUAGCUGAUUAAUGCUAUAGAAUUAUUAAGUACGUAUUAUUUUAUUGGUCGUCUAACUACGAAGUGUUACCUAUUCGUUUGUUUCGUUGUUAUAAUGUGUAAUUUAGAAAAGUAUACAGUUGAUCUUAAAUGUU